GGUGAACCUGCGGAAGGAUCAUUACCGAUGUGAAAAAUCCAAGGUUAAACAUCAUUAACCAGUGUGAACUGUACAACAACUCUUUAGGGGUCGGCACAGGCGUGUGUCGUUAAAUGGCGGAUAGGUUCCUUCCGCCAGCCCCGCCAUUGUGUUUAUUAUAUCACUUUGAACGUUAAAGACUGAGAACUAUGUAUCAUGCAUUAAAUGUAUGAGAAAGAAGGAAAGAAAAAUGAGAGACAACUUUUGACGGUGGAUCUCUUGGCUCACGUAUCGAUGAAGAACGCAGCCAGCUGCGAUAUGUAGUGUGAAUUGCAGACUUCAGUGAAUCAUUGAAUCUUUGAACGCAAAUGGCGCUCUUGGGUUCUCCCAGGAGCAUGUCUGUCUGAGUGUCGGAUUUUAUCGAACGCACUCGUGAGUGCGGUAUUGAGGUGUCACGGCGUGUUAGCAAGCAAGCAUUAAAUCGCCGUGUCCCUUGAAGGACAGCAGCAUUGGACUCGCAUUCUCUAUUGAAACUUGAGUGCGAAGGCUAAAGAUAAUAUUUUCCUUCGCCCAAACAUGCAAUAGCAGAAACAAAGUCCAAUCAAAGCGGUGACAGACAAUAAACAUCAAAUCUUGACCUCAGAUCAGGCAAGGCUACCCGCUGA
This 644-nucleotide small RNA is filed under the name Porites compressa. RNAcentral's name for it is "eukaryotic LSU rRNA". The stretch from base 239 to 392 matches the Rfam family "5.8S ribosomal RNA". The record is from RNAcentral. Lineage: Eukaryota; Metazoa; Cnidaria; Anthozoa; Scleractinia; Poritidae.